Molecule: long non-coding RNA, 16542 nt
Filed under: Gossypium barbadense (sea-island cotton)
Lineage: Eukaryota; Viridiplantae; Streptophyta; Magnoliopsida; Malvales; Malvaceae
Description: long non-coding RNA (GBAR_LNC008867)
Source: RNAcentral
UCUGUUAAGAAAAAAAAACUAAGCUUUUUAUUUUCUCUGCAGGUCCAUAUGCUGGCGAGGACUCCGGCCAUCGCUCCGCCUUGGCUCGGUCGCUCCGGCCACCGUGUCGCCUCAGGUAUAAUUUUUUUUAUUUUUUCCCUUGUUUUAUAUAUUUAUUUAAUGAUGCAUGUUGUUUUAAUAAACAUAAAUAAUAUGUGCUAAUAAUGUUCAAAGAAAGAGUAAAAGAAAGGGUAAAAUAAUAAAUAAAAAAACAGUAGAUAGACCUUUAGAUCGGUCUUCGAAAUUCUUUGCUGCAAGUUCGUGUUUUUUAUUUACUAAACCCUUUUAUGUGAAUCUCCUUUUCUUUCUGAAUAAUAAAUAAUAAAUGAAAAAUCCCCCCCUUUUUGAAUAUUGAAAAUCCCUCUUCAAAUACAAUCAGUUUCCCCCCUUCACUACAAUCUGUCCUCUUUCUACAAAGAUGAGAUUUUGGCUUUUUAAAGCCGAUCUACAAAACAUUUCUUUCAUUUUUAUUUUGUUUUUGCUCUUUUGUUUAUUUCUUCCCCCAUCAUUCGCGUGCUUUCUUUUGCCUUUGUAUUUGCUUUCAUUGCAGGUGCUAUGCGACGCGUGGAAGAGGCGACGGUCAGGGGCGUGGUGGCCGAGGUGGCAUGGGCGGUGGUUAGCAUGCGUGGGGUGAGCGGCAGCUGAAGAAAGAGGCUAGGGUUGCUGAAACAAUUUGGGUAGUUGGGCUAGGGUUAGUUUUAGGCCUAUUGGGUCUGGGCUUGUGAAAUUAUUUGUUGGGCUAUUAUAUUUUAUUUGUUUAUGGGCUCGGGCAAUAUUGGGCCUGUACAGCUGCCCCUCUUUGCUCAUUGUCGUGUAACGAGAAUAGAUCAAAGAUUAUAAAAGGACCAAUUUUGCCCGGGCUCGUCGAGUUAUGAGUUCUUGAUCCUUGAUCUUCUUUAAAUGGCUUCUUGACGGCUUCAAUCUGCUUUACUGCAACUCAGGAAUGCGAUAUCUGCUAUCUUUGGUCUGCUCUCCUGUCAACACAGAGACGCCAAACCUGUUAUCUUUAACUUGUUCCCUAUAAACACAGGGAUGCCAAAUCUACUUUUUCGAUUUGUUUUCUGACAAUACAGAGAUGCCAAAUCAUCUUAAAUCUGCUUUAGUGAAAUCAUCUGAAGGUUGGAUCUGCUAUGUAUCUGCUCUCCGUUGAAAUGGAGAUGCCAGAUCUGUUAUCUUGGAUCUACUUUGGUGUGGGAACAUCCGAAAGUCAAAUCUGCUAUGUCUUUGAUUUGUUCCUUGUAAGCACAAGGAUGCCAGAUCCUCUUAGAUCUUGCUUCAGUAUAAACAUCUGAAGGUCAGAUCUGCUAUGUAUCUGCUCUCCAUUGAAGUGGAGAUGCUAGACUUCGAUUUGUUCUCUGAAAAUACAGAGACGACAAAUCAUCUUAGAUUUGUUUCAAAGUAAACACGUGAAAGCCAAAUCAGCUAUGUCUUCGAUUUGUUCCUUGUAAACACAAGGAUGCCAAACCAUCUUGGAUCCGCUUCAGCAUAAACAUCCGAAGGCAAGAUCUGCUAUGUGUCUGCUCUCCAUCAAAGUGAAGAUGCCAUACUUUGAUUCGUUCUCUGACAAUACAGAGACGACAAAUUAUCUUAGAUUGCUUCAUUGUAAGCACGUGAAAGCCAAAUCGGCUAUGUCUUCAAUUUGUUCCUUGUAAGCACAAGGAUGCCAAAUCAUCUUGGAUCUGCUUUAGCCAGAUCUGCUAUGCUACGGCCUAUUACCCUAUUGCAUAGGAUUUAAGGGCCAUCGCAUUUGAUCUGUUUCCCUAUUGCUUAGGGGGUUUUGAUCCGUACAUUCAACCUGUUACCCUACUGCUUAGGGAUUUAAGGGCUGUAAAUUUGGCUUGUUACCCUACUGCUUAGGGGGUUAAUCCCGUCAUCUUCGAUCUGUUUCCCUACUGCUUAGGGGGUUAAGAUCUAUAAAUUCAGUUUGCUCUACUGCGGCUUCAGAGAGAUGAGACUUGCUGGAUUCGAUCUGUUCCACUGUAACUUCAGAGAGACAAGAUCUGUAAUUUUCAGACUAUUACCCUACUGCUUAGGGGUUUAUGGUCUGUUUCGAUCUGUUUCCAUACUGCUUAGGGGGUUAAAAUCUAUAAAUUCAACCUGUUACCCUACUGCUUAGGGGGUUAAGGCUUGGUGAAUUCACUGAUUCUAGGAACAUGACAUGUAGAAUCAGUUUCAUGUAUUUAUGCUUAUGCCAAAGAAUUAGGAUGCUAUGAUCAAAAUGAAUCAAAUGCUCCUAAUUAGAUGCAUUAUGAAUGAUCUUUGAAUGUAUGGGUGCAACAUGUUGUAAGCGUGAAUCCUUUUUAAUGUUUAGAUGGCCAUUGCUCUUUGUUCAUCAAGGUUCUUUCACUGAAAUGGUACUCUAUCUUCUUGUUCAGCUCAAAAUUUGAACAGAAAACCCAAAGAGGCAGUCCCAAUUUAAACUCUUUCUUCUCACAUGCUUCGAAUCUUUGAGUUUGGUUAGUUCUAAAUAAUAGUCCUGUUCUAGGUCCCUAUACUAUUUAGAAACUUUCAGAGUAAUAUGCAGAACUCUUUUUGCGAAAAUGGCUUUUAGUCCAUUAAUCAUCAUUUCAAUGCAAAAUGCUUGAAAAAUAUUAUAAUGAUAGAACUGAAAUUUAUCAGAAACAAAAUUUGAAGGGAGUAGAUUCAUCACGGUCAACAAACAUUGCUGGAAUACAAAAUGAAUAAGAAGGGAAUAGGUGCCCCAGAUAUCGCAGCGUAAGCUUCUCUGUGCUAACUUCUUGAGGACUCUCUUUUUGCCCGACAUGUGUUUAGGGGAUCUAGAGUACCCUUGUAGAUGCCCCAAGACGUAACAUCUCUCUUCCUUGUUAAUUUGGGUAUCAUUAGACCAUCGCAUGCUCCACUUUUGAUCAAAAUUUGAAUCACCCUUUACGGGUUUUCAAUUCAAAAUCCCUUUGGUCCCAAGGUUCUCUUUGCGAGUUUUUACCCUGGCCUCUCCUUUUUUUUUGGGUAAAGUAUUUUUUGACCGAAUCUGAAUUCACAGGAUUGGGUAAAGUCUUGCCAUCCAUUUCGGCCAAUAUCAAUGCUCCUCCCGAAAAGGCUUUCUUUACCACAUAAGGUCCUUCCCAAUUCGGCGUCCAUUUUCCCCUGAAAUCCUUUUGUAUAGGGAGGAUCUUUUUCAAUACUAAGUCUCCCUCGUGGAAUUCUCUAGGACGGACCUUUUUGUUGUAAGCUCACAUCAUUCGCUUUUGGUACAUUUGACCAUGACGGAUAGCCCUUAGCCUCUUUUCUUCAAUCAAAUUCAACUGGUCAUAUCGGGACUAGAUCUAUUCUGCUUCAUCCAACUUUACCUCAGACAAAACUCUGAGGGAAGGGAUCUCGACCUCGAUAGGUAAAACUGCCUCCAUUCCAUAGACCAAUAAGAAAGGCGUUGCUCCGGUGGAAGUCGUGACAGACGUUCGAUAAGCAUAGAGGGCGAAUGGUAGCUUCUCAUGCCAAUCUUUAUAAGUUUCUGUCAUCUUUCCCACGAUCUUCUUGAUGUUCUUAUUGGCUGCUUCGACUACACCGUUCAUCUUCGGGCGAUACGGUGAAGAGUUGUGGUGUCUAAUCUUGAACUGACUGCAGACCUCCGCUAUCGUGCUAUUGUUCAAAUUCAAUGCGUUGUCAGAUAUGAUCCUUUCUGGCAUUCCAUAUAGACAGAUGAUUUCCUUUUUCAGGAACUUGCUACUGCUGAUUUAGUUACAUUGGCAUAUGAAGCGGCCUCCACCCAUUUGGUGAAAUAAUCGAUGACCACAAAGAUGAAAUGAUGCCCAUUUGAAGCUUUUGGCGAAAUUGGCCCAAUCACAUCCAUGCCCCACAUCGAGAAAGGCCAUGGCGAAGUCAUGACAUGCAGAGGUGAGGGAGGUACAUUAAUCUUGUUUCCAUAGAUUUGGCACUUAUGACAUCUUUUGGCAUAGUUAAUACAGUCUCCUUCCAUGGUGGACCAAUAAUAACCGAACCUCAUAAUUUGCCUGGCCAUUGUAAAACCAUUAGCGUGUGUCCCACAGACGCCCUCAUGGACUUCUUCCAAGAUUUUCUUAGCGUCAAUAGCAUCUACACAUCUCAACAGUACUUGAUCCUUCCUUCUUUUGUAUAGGAUCUCCCCGUCUAAGACAUAAUCACUGGCCAGUCUUCUCAACGUCCUUUUGUCAUUCUCAGUAGCUUGGUCGGGGUACUCACGAUUCUUCACAUAUCGCAGGGUAUCGUGGUAUUAAGGGUGAUCAUCAUUUUUUUCUUCUUCUUCGAGGUUGUAGCAAUGAGCCGGAGCUUCAUAAAUGCUCAUUUGGAUUGGUUUCACAUCAUCUUGCUUGUUCACCUUGAUCAUAGAGGCUAAAGUUGCUAGGGCGUCAGCCAUCUGAUUUUCCUCUCGCGGGAGGUAGCAGAAGACAAUAUCAUCAAAUUCUUUAAUUAAUUCAAGGAUCAGCCUUCGAUAAUUGAUCAACUUGGGGUCUCUCGUCUCCCAUUCACCUUUGAGUUGAUAAAUCACUAGGGCAGAAUCUCCAUCUACCUCUAACACCUUGAUUUUACGUUCUAUGGCCGCACAUAUUCCCAUGAUGCAUGCUUCGUAUUCUGCCAUAUUAUUCGUGCAGUCAAAAUCCAAUUUACUAGUGAAGGGAUAAUGAUCUCUGUUCGGGGAUACCAGGACUGCCCCGAUUCUAUUGCCCACGACAUUUGAUGCUCCGUCAAAGUUUAGCUUCCAAGGAUGAUCUUCUUGAGGGUCUUCUUCAGUGGUUGCUAUGUACAUUAGAUCUUCAUUUGGGAAGUUAAAGUUUAGAGGCUCGUAGUCCUCUAGGGCUCUGCUGGCUAGGAAAUCUGCUAUCACACUCCCUUUUACAGCCUUCUGGUUCACAUAGACUAUAUCGAAUUCAGAAAGUAGAAUUUACCAUCGGGCCAUUCUCCCGUUCAAGGCAGUCGACUCCAUCAAGUACUUCAGAGGGUCCAUUUUAGAGACUAGCCAAGUUGUGUGAUACAACAUGUAUUGUCUCAGUCUUCGUCUUCGGGUUGUCCAGAUUAAGGCACAACACAACAUUUCAAUGAACGAGUAUCUCGUCUCACACUCAGUAAACUUUUUACUGAGGUAAUAUAUCGCUCUUUCUUUCCUUCUUGAUUCAUCGCUUUGGCCAAGCACGCAUCCCAUAGAAUUUUCAAAUACCGUCAAAUACAGUAUCAGUGGCUUAUCUGGACUAGGUGGUGUCAACACUGGAGCAUUAGACAAAUAUUGCUUAACUUUGUCGAACGUCUUCUGGCAUUCCUCGUCCCAAACACCAGGGUUGUGUUUUUUAAGGAGACAGAAUAUGGGGUCACAUUUCUCGGUUAGUUGUGAAAUAAACCGAGCGAUGUAAUUUUAUCUUCCUAGGAAUCCCCGAACUUCCUUCUGAGUACGUGGUGGAGGUAGCUCUUGUAUGGCUUUGACUUUAUCUGGGUCAAUCUCAAUCCCUUUUUCUCUGAUUACGAAUCCUAGUAGUUUUCCAGACCUGGCCCUGAAGGUACACUUCGCUGGAUUGAGUUUCAGCUGGAAUUUCCUUAACCUUAAAAAUAAUUUCCUCAAGACUUGUACAUGCACUUCUUCAGUCCAAGAUUUGGCGAUCAUGUCGUCGAUGUAGACUUCAAUUUCUUUAUGCAUCAUAUCAUGAAAUAGGGUUACCAUGGCUCUCUGAUAUAUUGCUCCCGCAUUUUUCAAUCCGAACGGCAUCACCUUAUAGCAAAAGGUUCCCCACAUGGUCACAAAUGUGGUUUUAUUCAUGUCUUCAGGAUGCAUCUUGAUCUGAUUGUACCCCAAGAAACCAUCCAUGAAGGAGAAGAGUGAGUAGCCUGCCGUGUUAUCCACUAAGGUGUCAAUAUGAGGCAACGGGAAAUUAUCCUUUGGGCUAGCUUUGUUUAAGUCUCUGUAGUCUACACACAUCCGUACUUUUCCAUCUUUUUUAGGGACGGGGACGAUGUUGGAUACCCAUUCCGAGUACUUAACUACUUGUAAGAAACUAGCAUCAAAUUGCUUCUUGACCUCCUCUUUUAUUUUCAACAAAACAUCGGGCCGCAUCCUUCGAAGCUUUUGCUGGACUGGUUUGUAUUCUUCUUUGAUGGGGAGCCUGUGUACCACAAUGUUAGUACUUAACCCAGGCAUAUCUUGAUAUGACCAUACGAAGACAUCCUUGAACUCUUGGAGUAACUCAAUAAGGUCCCGCUUUGUCUCUGUGGUAAUGCAAACUCUGAUCUUUACUUCUUUCCUUUCUAGUUCAUCUCCCAAGUUCACGACUUCUACGGUCUCUUUGUGGGGUAGAAUCUGUUUCUCCUCGUGUUUUACCAUCCUUAACAAAUCAGGGGAUAAGUUACAAUCUCCGUCAUCCUUAAAGUCCUGAGAUACCUCUAGACACAUAUCCCGCUCAAAAGAAGACUCUGAAUUAGUAGCAACGUCACUCACAUCAUUGAUAUCUGGAGACCUCUUGUAGGUGUGAAGGAAGAUACAAAGAACAAGAGAAUCUAAGAACAAUGAUAUGUAUAGUAUGAUCAUGAAUGAAAGAAUAAAAGAAUAUUUGCACGGAAUAAGUCAAAAGGAUACAUUUUAUUGAAAUAACGAUUUCGAACAUAAGCCUAUUUCACAAAAGGACACUUAUUACUCCUAGGCCUAGAGCAAUAAGUGUGUUUUGAACAUUACCCUAAGUUAGUUCUAAAGAUUACAGGAAUCUCUUUCGCAGUCUAAUUAUUCAGAACACUUCCCGGCUCAUAGGGGCGAAUGCCUGACAAAUUUUCUACCCCCGUCCCUUCUUCAUAUGUGGCAUUGAUGUCCAAACUCUCCAUCAUUUCUUCCAAGAUUUCCUUUUCCGACGUCUUCCGCUCGGAGUGAAUGACCCCUCCAGACACAAAAGUCUUCGAUAUAUGGGGGAAGAUCAUUGGUUCCCAUUCGAUUUCUCCUCCGCUCAAUCGCGCUCUCCUUCUUUCUUUCUUAUUCUCAAGUUCCUUCUUUCUUUGUUUAAUGUCCGACUUAAACCCUAACCUAAAAUGGUCUUGUUUGUCCUUCAUCAUUGGUACAUUAAUCCUUCCCUGGAGGUAUCUCCCGAGUCCUCUUCCGGGUAGAGCCCCUCUUCCAAUAGUUAGCCGUAGUCCCAUUCUUGUAGUCUUAGAUAACCUGGGCAUUGGAAUCUUAUUUCCUUCGGUGAUGAACGUCGCGUUCACAAACUCCAAAGAUCGAAAAGAGAACUCGAUUGCUUCAUCAUUUGCCUCCAGAUAUGAGGCGUCACUGGUUUUGCCGCGAUGAUGUCCUCUUCAGUAUUGAUCGUUACUAACCGACCUCCGGUCACUAAUUUCAACUUUUGAUGCAGCGAUGAAGGGACUACCCUCGCCGAGUGUAUCCACGGUCUCUCCAAUAGGCAAUUAUACAAAGACUUAAUGUCCAUGACCAAGAAAUCUACCUCGUAUGUGCUUGGCCUGAUUAAGAGGGGUACUUCAAUUCUCCUCAUUACCUUCCUUUCCGUUCCAUCAAAUGCUCUCACUACACUUUGGCAUGUCUUCAUAUGGGAACUAUCCACUGGCAACCUACUCAGCGUAGAUAGGGGUAGGACAUUCAGUGCAGACCCAUUGUCAAUCAAUACCCCCGGUAAUGUGUACCCUUUACAGCGGGUCGUGAUAUGCAAAGCUUUAGUUGAUCCUCGGCCCCCUAGCGGUACCUCAUCGUCAUUGAAGAAUAUGAAGUUGUCGGCACUUAUAUUGUUGACUAAGCAGUCCAGUUUGUUUACAGAGAUAUCGUUAGCAACAUAAGUUUCAUUCAGCACCUUCAUCAAUGCGCUGCGAUGGGUUUCGAAGCUUAAAAGUAAGGCCAGUACCGAUAUACGCGUUGGCUAUUUGUGCAACUGUUUUACGACACUAUAUUCGCUGUGCUUUAGAAAUUUUAAGAAUUCCUUGGCUUCUUUUUCAGUCACUGAUUCGUUAAUAGUUAGUUCAGGCCUCGCCGGCUUCUCUUUCUUUUGCUCAAUUGCUAAUGAUUUUUCUUUAACCUGCUCGGCUUUUGUAUUUGGGGUAUAACGCCUUCCACUGCGCAUAUAAAAACCUUCGUCUUGAACUUCCUCUGAUGCAUUAAUCGGGGUCUCCUCUCCUAGGAAUGUCACAUUAUAGCUAUAGUUCCACGGUACCCUUUUGCUAUCCUUGUAAGGGAAAGCAACGGGCUUCCGAAUUAUGACCUUUGGCGCAACUUGUGCCCUGGCUUCAUUCAUUCUCAGACAUGAUAUGAUAACCACUGGGUGGUUGACUUUGUAAACAUCUUUCAUCGACCCCUCUUCGGAGGCACACACAUCUGCUUCUUCUGGGCUCCCGACAUAUUCGAAGAAUUCCAGCUCGUUAUUAUCCAUCAAUCCUUGUAUUAAAUCCAUAAAUUGGCUGCAUUUCUGAAUCUCGUGAUCCUCUUGAUCGUGGAACUCACAAUAAUUCUUCGCUUCUCGAGGUCUGACCCUUGAAUUUUGUGCUAUCAACCCUCUUUCCACCAUUUUCUUCCAAACUUCCUCCAACGGGGUAUUCACUUCUACAAUACUUAUCUUAAUUUCUUUCCCCAAACUCUCGAUUAUUGUAUUUAUUCUCUUAUCCCCAUGGUUAGGUAAUGGGUUCUCUGUAUUGGAUGCAUCAUCAAAUUUCACAAUCCCCAUGUUGAUGAGUCUUUCAACCAAAUUCUUGAAAGUGGUGUAGUUUUCUAUCGAGUGUCCUGUGGUUCCCGCAUGGUAUUCGCAUUGGGCAUUUUCGUCAUACCAUUUGGGGUAUGGAGGUUGCAUUGGCUUUAGAUAGAAGAGAGACACGACAUGUGCAUCAAAUAAACUCUGGUAUAACUCCUUGUACGUCAUUGGAAUGGGCGUAAAUUGAAGUUUCUCCCUAUUUUGUUUUAUGUUGGGCUCUUGUCUGGAUGGGCCUGCUGUCCAGUAGUUGUCGACCUUGGUUGGCUUACGGUGAUCGAUUUCGAAUAUGAGCUCACAUUAUUUACCUCAUGCUCUUUCUUUCUCGGCGCUGAUCUCUUAGCAUUUUCCCCAGACUCUAUUUUCCCACAUCUUAUGGCAUUUUCUAUUAUUUCUCCAGACAUUACUAUGUUUGAAAAACUCUUGGUUGCGCUACCCAGCAUGUGGUUAAUAAAAGGUGCCUUCAGGGUAUUGAUGAAGAGCAUAGUGUUUCCUUUUCCAACAGAGGGGGUUGGACUUGUGUGGCCACUUCUCUCCAUCGCUGGGCGUACUACCUAAAGCUCUCAUUAUGCUUUUUCUCCAUAUUCUGUAAAGUGAUUCUAUCAGGGGCUAUGUUUGCCACAUGACCGUAUUGCUUCAUGAAGGCUUGUGCUAAAUCUUUCCAUGAACUGAUCUGGGCGCGACUCAGCUGGUUGUACAUCUAGAAGCAGCCCAACCAGACUUUCUUGGAAGCAGUGAAUUAAUAGUUGGUCAUUAUUGACAUGGCCUACCAUUCGUCUGCAGAACAUAGUGAUGUGAGCUUCGGGACAGCUAGUCCCGUUGUAUUUCUCAAAUUCUGGAGUUUUGAACUUGGGAGGGAGUAUCAGGUCCGGAACCAAACUUAAUUCCUUAGCAUCGAUUCCACCACGAUAGUCGGUGCUUUUCAUUUCUUAAAAUUUUUCUUCCAACCAUCUACACAUUUCUUCAAGCUCUCUCGGGAGUUCUACCCUUGUCUUUUCUACUUCUGUUACUUCAUCGAGAUUGAGGACCAUAGGAUUGGUCGGGUUAUCCCCCGGAUUAGAGCCUAAGCCGGCCUGAUAAUUUAUCGGUGCCGAAACAUCAGCCUGAAAUGGUUGGGGCCUAAUUGUGACUGAUAGCCUUCUUGGGUACAUAUCAAGUUGUGUCUGGACGUCCACUGGGGCAAAACCCGGAGGGUAAGUAGGAUCUUCAUUAUCUUCUCCCGCAUUGAUCAAAGGGCUUUUCCCUUUUUCUAAUCCGCCAGCCAAUAGACAAGUUAAUUGGUCCAUCAUGCUUUCCUGGGACUCCAACAUAUGGUCCCUCAUAUCUUGCUGGAUUUUGGCAAGCUGUUCUUGCAUACGUGCUUGUAAUUGAUCCUGCAUCUCUUUUUGCAUUUGUUUCAAUCUCUCUAACCUUUGGUCCAUUACCCUUGUUUUUCCCCUUGUACCGUAACGAUGUUCUAGGGUAACUGCCAUGAUUUUUAGGGUUUCUUGUGAGUUUUAGUGCGUAUGAUGCAAUGCUGAUACAUGAAUGCAAUGAAUGCGAUGAAUGCAAAAAAAAGCGUUGAUUCCAAUUCGAUUUCAUUAGAGUAACUUUUCUAGAAAACAAGUUUCUUUACAUAAAAUAGAUUACAUAUAAGGCUUGGCCCUGAUACUUAAGGGCUUGACCUGCCUAAGAAGCCAAGCUAGCUCUCGUCCUCGGUCCGAUUCUGACUCGUAUUUUAAACUCAGCACAUCGGCUUGUACUGCUAAUAUUUGCAAGUGAUCAGCCACUUCUCGCACUUGAGUCAAAGCUUCGCCCAUGACGUAGUCCCUGCUCGUGACUUGGUCUUGAGAUUGAUGAAGUUGCUCCUUCCAUCGCUCGUUAUUUACCUCAAGGAGUUCUAUCUGAAGUUCACAAUUUUGCAGCGCUGUUUUGAGUUCUUCUAUAUUCUCUUUUAAUUCUUCGAUUCUGUUCUGACUAGCUUUCAACUCGAUUGCAGAGUUACGCGAGCGAUACUAAUACAAUGACCUCUCUAACUCUGAUACCCAGAUCUUUAACCCUUCUUUCUCAUUCUGGCUUUCUACCAAACUUCUUUUCAGUGCACCUUCUCGAGCUUGAGCAUCGCGAAAUUUUUCUUCCCACUGGUUAGCUUUGCUUUGUUCUUCUUUAACUUCAUGUCGCCAUUGUUCGGAUGUUUUUCCUAACCCAGGGGUUAUCAUUGAUCUGCACAGCUUCUUAUAGUCCAUUUUCAAACUGUCUAAGUCCUCUUCAGCCUUGUUUUUCCCUUUUCUGAGUUUUUCAGCUUCUAGUUUUUGGACAUCGACAUCUAACCUUAACUGCAUCUUUUCUUCUUCCAACUGCUCGAUCCUUUUUUCUAGCUCCAGACUCUUUCUCUCGAAAUCUUGCCUGAUGAUUUCUAGCUCAGAUGAGAUUACUUUCAAGUGCUCUUCUAUCGACUGAGAAUUCCCUUGAUCUGAUGUAGGGAUGUUGUCGUUAAAACACUGAUUCCACCAUCGGUUGUACUCAGGAGUAGUCAUGGGAUUGGCAGCAAACUUUUUCAUUCUACGAGUCUGGUUCCAGGCAUUUGAUAUCUCGUGAACUUUCUUUUUGUAAUUAUUCCCUGUGAACACAAACUCGCACUGGGCUAACCCGUAUGUUGGUGGUGUAAACUGUCUGGAUCUGUAUUGUCGCAAUGCAAGUAGAGGAGCAUACCCGACGGCCCCCCAUACUCCUAACAAAGGAACCCAAUCGAAGUCUCUGCAUCGGUAUAAUAUUUCAUCAGGAACCAUCCACGCGGCUCUCCAUUCAACAUCUUCUUCUUGCAGAUUUUGGAGAACUGUCAUCCAAUUUUCUUCUGUCACAUCAUCUUACCUCGGUGUAGCCACUAACUCUUUCAACGAAGAGUAAUUUUCAGAGAAGAUACGAUACGAGACCUUUUCCACUUUCUAAAAAUGGCUAUGGAACCAGGAUAGCAAGAGCUGUACACAUCCAAUAAAUCUCCCUUCACCCACUCUUCUACAAGCAUUUAAUGAUCUGAAAGUUUCAGCCAAGAUUGCGGGUACAGGUGUGGUUCCUUUACCAAGCCUGUCAAAAAGGUCAGCAAUAGCCUCGUCUACAUGCCCCAAAGCUUUGGGGAAGAUAACCAGUCCAUAAAUGCUCAAGGUGAAGACAUCUACCCUUUUCUUCACGUCGGGGUGCGCUAAGACUAGAUCCCUCAGGUUCCUCCAAGGAAUGCAUUUACAAUCUUCUUUUUGCUUGAUCUGGGUUAUCACCCACUGUUCGCUCAUCCCUGUGAUGUUCAUCAGCUUUUUUGAAAAUACUGGGACGUUAGCAGGUCUGGCAUAAAUUCUGUCAACCUGAGUCUUUGGGCAAUGGAGCAAGGUCGUGUAUUCUUCUAUAGUAGGUACCAAAUCUACUUUCCUGAAAGUGAAGCAACUGUAAGCAGAAUUCCAAUAUUGGGCAAGGGCUCGAAACAGGUGUUCAUCUACCUUGACAUCGAGCAGAUAAGGUAAAUCACCGUAAUGACAAUAGAAUAGCUGUUUGACCUCAUCAUCCCACUGACCCCAAAUUUCUUUCAUCUCUUGGAGAUUAUUCUAAGUUACGCUGAUCCGAGUAAAAUUCCAUAACUCUGACACGUGCCCCUCGAUUAGACUGUCACCUUUCUCUUGUUGUGUUGUCUCAGCCCAUAUCCAGACAGCCGCGUUGUCUUCUACUUUAUCAAAAAACACCUUUUCCAUGAUAAGCUAUCUAUUUAGGAACCGAAUGUGAAUCAACAACUUUUAUAAUGAAAAUGCCAUGCAAAUACAAUCAAAGUAAAACAAAGUAAGUCAGUAAUUUAUACACAGUUCAAAGUAAACAAAGAAUAAUAAAUAUAGCACUUGUUGAGGUGACCACUAGGGUUUUAGAGUGGCUCUACGUAGGGCAGGUUUUUAAGGCUCACUACAUGGGGUUUGGUUCUAGAGUAAGGGUACCUGAACUAGCAGAUUCCUCGAUCUUCACCCAUUAUAGGCUCAUACAGACCGAGUUCAGUUUAGGGGAAUACAUUUCCCUAUGGCUGCACGGAGAUGAAAAUCUCACGAAGACAUAGGUACAGAUGUAUCCCGAAAGUGAUCCACUAUCCUGCACGGAGAUGAAAACCUCACGAAGGAGUAGUUUCUCACUCCCACUUAAAGGGGUGUGACCACAGCGGUCAUGCAAUGCAAUAUGCAAAACUAUUUAAAGACUCGAACCAAUACAGCAGGUAUUGUACCACAAAAAUAGCUAAUGAAAUGCAAUGAAAGUAUCGUAUUUCAAAACCAAGUUUUCAAUUUUCGAUAAAAAGACAAGAGUUAAUCAACUUGUGGCUUGACUCUCUCAUUCGUGUCCCCAGUGGAGUCGCCAAGUUAUCGUAACCAUUUUUUGAAAAAAAGGGAAAUCGACUUAGAUUUUGAAAAUGAAAACUAAUAGAGGAGUCGCCACCAAUCCUUUUUUGUUGAGGUGUGAUCGGAUCACUUUAAAUUAGUCAUUUUAAUAAAAGUUAAGAUUUAUCAAAACGAUAAGUUUUGGUCUACGAAAAUCAGAAAAUGAGUUCGGGAGUCGGUUACGCACGAGGAGGGAUUAGCACCCUCGAUACGCCCAAAAUUGGUACCUAGUUGAUUAAUUAGUGUUUUAGUAUCGAAGACUCAAAAACUUGAAAGAAUUUAAAACACAAUCCCUAUUUGUAUGAAUGCUAAUUUAAAAAUGAUCGGAUAAGUUAAAACGGAUGUUAAGGAUCCUCUCGUCUCGAAGUAAUAAAAUGUCACGUCCAGUAAGUUAGGACGUGGCACCUCGAACUUUGAGAAUGAGAUUGCCCCUUUUUUUUUAAAUGCCCGUAUUUUAGCUUAUAAAAAGGGUAUUUGAUUAUUUAGAGUAAACGAGAGAAAUCGAAACCCAGUAAGUUAGGGCAUGUUUUCUCGAAUUCUCAAACAUCGAUUAUUGCCUUUAUUUUAAAAUCAAUUCUUAUUUCGAGGCGACUAAAUGUCAUACCCGGUAAGUUAGGGCACAACGCUUCGUACCUCCGAGAAUAAGCAUUUUUCAAAACUCGUAUAACGAUUUUAAAGAGUAUUCCGUUAUUUAGGUUAAAUGAGAAAGAUCGAAGCCCAGUAAGUUAGGGCACGAUUGUCUCGAAUUACCAAAUGCGAAAUAUCACUUUUAUGAAAGAACUGAGUAAAACUUAAUUUGAUUUAUAGAUUAUGUCGUUACUUAGAUUAAACGAGAAAAUCCGAAACCCAUUAAGUUAGGGCACGAUUUUCUCGAAUCGUCUAAAUACGAAACUUGUUUUAUUUUAGAAAACACAAUUAUGUGCAUCGAGUAAAUGAUCAACGUAAUCAUUAUCACAUGGUGAAAUGAGAAACGAAUCGCAGGAUUAACAUGCAUAAUAAUAAUACAAAGGUGGUGAUAUAAACAAUAAUAAUGACGAAUAAUGUAAAUUUGCAGAAUUACUGAGACACAUAUGAAUAAACGGACAAACAUUAUGCCUAAAACGUAAUAAUAGCGAAAAUAUGAAUGAAUAAGAAACACAAAUAACUAAGUAAUGAGAAAAUAAGUAAAGAUAAAAAUAAUAACAAUAAUAAUGAUAAUAAAUAUAGUAAUGAUAAUAGUAAGAAUAUAAUGUAUAGUAUUAGAGGUAAAUACAUAAUACAUACAUAUUAGACACAAUCUUAAUAUAAAAAAACAACCAUUAAUAACUAUAUAAAUAAAUAUAUGGUAGUAAUAUAUACAUGAUAUAGCUAAAAAAACAUAAACAUAAGAUAAUAUGAGAAAUAAAAAAAAUAUAAAUGAUAUAAUAUUAAGGUAUAUGUAUAACAAUAAAAAUACAAUAUUAAAAGAUAUAUACACGUAAUAUAUAAAAAAAUGUAUUCGCAUUAAAAUAUAUAUACGUAAUAAAAAUGCAAUAUUCGGAAUAUUUACAUAGUAUAUACAUGCUAAAAAUGAAAAUAAUGUUUAAAAAUAAAUAUUAAUGAUAUUACCUCGAUAUAUACAUAUAUGUUAAAAUGAGUACAUGAUAAUAUUAAAAGUAUGUACACAAUAUGCAUAAUAUAUUAAAAAAAUAUAUAUAUACAUAUAAUAUUUAUAAAAAUAUAUACAUAAUAUACAUAAAGUAUACAUAUAUACAUAUAUAUAAUACUUAAAAGGAACAAAUAUACAUAAUAAUGCUAAUACAUAUAUGCGUAGUGCAAUGUAUAUACAUCAAAUGAAUAUAUAUAACAUAAAAAUACAUUAAUAAAAAACAAUAAUAUUAAACUAUUAAUAAUACUGUAUAACAUAUAUACAUAAGUAUUAAAUAAAGGUGGGACGAAAUUGGGUUGAAAGCAGAAUCUUAGAGGCAAAUUUUAAAAUAAAUAAAAGGGGAAGGGGACUGAUUUGAACAAGCGAGCAAUCAGGAAGGCCUAAAGGACUAAAUAGUCCAACCUUUCCAGACGACGCCGUUCAAAUGUCUCUCCUUCAAACGGUCAGAGGAUUAAAUUAAAACAGAAUUAAAAUUUCAAAGCUAAAUUUAAAAACAUGAAAAGACCUGAUUAAAAUAGAAAAAAUUGCGAAAGGACCGCAUAUGCAAUUGUCCCAACUAUCAAAAACGCGCGGACCCUUCUGUGGAGCAAGUCGGUUUUGGGUCAGGUAGGGCGAAACGGCGUCGUUUUGGGGCUUAUGGGUGCCGACCAAAACGACGUCGUUUUAUAACAUCUAUAUAAGUUAAAAAAUCAGCCUUUUAAAUCAUUUCUACUGUCUGUUAAGAAAAAAAAACUAAGCUUUUUAUUUUCUCUGCAGGUCCAUAUGCUGGCGAGGACUCCGGCCUCGCUCCGGCCACCGUGUCGCCUCAGGUAUAAUUUUUUUUUAUUUUUUCCCUUGUUUUAUAUAUUUAUUUAAUGAUGCAUGUUGUUUUAAUAAACAUAAAUAAUAUGUGCUAAUAAUGUUCAAAGAAAGAGUAAAAGAAAGGGUAAAAUAAUAAAUAAAAAAAAUAGUAGAUAGACCUUUAGAUCGGUCUUCGAAAUUCUUUGCUGCAAGUUUGUGUUUUUUAUUUACUAAACCCUUUGAUGUGAAUCUCCUUUUCUUUCUGAAAAAAAUGAAAAAUCCCCCCUUUUUGAAUAUUGAAAAUCCCUUCUCAAAUACAAUCAGUUUCCCCCCCUUCAGUACAAUCUAUCCUCUUUCUACAAAGAUGAGAUUUUGGCUUUUUAAAGCCGAUCUACAAAACAUUUCUUUCAUUUUUAUUUUGUUUUUGCUCUUUUGUUUAUUUCUUCCCCCAUCAUUCACGUGCUUUCUUUUUUCUUUGUAUUUGCUUUCAUUGCAGGUGCUAUGCGACGCGUGGAAGAGGCGACGGUCAGGGGCGUGGUGGCCGAGGUGGCAUGCGCGGUGGUUAGCAUGCGUGGGGUGAGCGGCGGCUGAAGAAAGAGGCUAGGGUUGCUGAAACAAUUUGGGUAGUUGGGCUAGGGUUAGUUUUAGGCUAUUGGGUCUGGGCUUGUGAAAUUAUUUGUUGGGCUAUUAUAUUUUAUUUGUUUAUGGACUUGGGCAAUAUUGGGCCUGUACAACUGGCAUUUUAGAGGAUCAAUAUUUGGUAUUGAAAUGUACUUAAUGUUGAAAAAAUUGAGAUAUUUCAAAAGAAUCAAUUCUCACAUUCCUAAAUAAUUUUUUUGUGACACUUGUUUAUAAGUCAUAUUACUUCAUUGGACUAGUAAGAACCAAGUUGAGAAGGUGGAUUUGUACAUUGGGCCUAAAAGCAUAGUUUAAUGUAUAUAUGAGCUCUUUUAUUUUUGGAAUUAUUUUCUAUCGAAAUUUUGAGAGUAUAAGAAAAUUGAACUUCUUAACUUGUAACACAUAUAUUUAGCUAAGUUUAAAAUAGCUUAAUCAAUAGAAGCUAUUUUUA